UUUCAUGGGGAAUCUAGAGGUGAGCUCGGAAACGCGAGGGGAGGCUUCGUUUGAGUGGGGAAGCAUUUGGAGACCGUUCGGAGAGGAAAAGCUCCGGUACCGUGAGUUGGAGCACGCGUGAUCGGCUUUCAGGUCUGAGUACUAGCUACCGACGUUGAUUCGAGCCAGCUGCGGUCGUGAUCGGAGGCAAGGGUGAGCACACAACGUCAUGGAUUUGCCCGUCUCCUUCUGUACUUACCUUUGCUUGUC
Molecule: long non-coding RNA, 249 nt
Organism: Solanum tuberosum (potato)
Lineage: Eukaryota; Viridiplantae; Streptophyta; Magnoliopsida; Solanales; Solanaceae
Exons: 3
Source: RefSeq, a predicted model, not a curated record